This 46-nucleotide non-coding RNA is filed under the name Trichobilharzia regenti. The record is from RNAcentral. Lineage: Eukaryota; Metazoa; Platyhelminthes; Trematoda; Strigeidida; Schistosomatidae.
GUACUGAUGAAGAGUCCCAAACUAGGACGAAACACCUAUCCAGUAC